RNAcentral lists this ribosomal RNA (641 nucleotides) under Blastococcus sp. I12A-02666. RNAcentral describes it as "bacterial SSU rRNA". It matches the Rfam family "Bacterial small subunit ribosomal RNA", at positions 94 to 748 of the family's 1533-position model. Lineage: Bacteria; Bacillati; Actinomycetota; Actinomycetes; Geodermatophilales; Geodermatophilaceae. The record is from RNAcentral.
AGUGGCGAACGGGUGAGUAACACGUGGGCAACCUGCCCCUGGCUCUGGGAUAACUCCAAGAAAUUGGGGCUAAUACCGGAUAUGACCGCUGACCGCAUGGUCUGGUGGUGGAAAGAUUUAUCGGCUGGGGAUGGGCCCGCGGCCUAUCAGCUUGUUGGUGGGGUAGUGGCCUACCAAGGCGACGACGGGUAGCCGGCCUGAGAGGGUGACCGGCCACACUGGGACUGAGACACGGCCCAGACUCCUACGGGAGGCAGCAGUGGGGAAUAUUGCGCAAUGGGCGAAAGCCUGACGCAGCGACGCCGCGUGGGGGAUGACGGCCUUCGGGUUGUAAACCUCUUUCAGCAGGGACGAAGCGGAAGUGACGGUACCUGCAGAAGAAGCACCGGCCAACUACGUGCCAGCAGCCGCGGUAAUACGUAGGGUGCAAGCGUUGUCCGGAAUUAUUGGGCGUAAAGAGCUCGUAGGCGGUUCGUCACGUCGGCUGUGAAAACCUGAGGCUCAACCUCAGGCCUGCAGUCGAUACGGGCGGACUUGAGUACUGCAGGGGAGACUGGAAUUCCUGGUGUAGCGGUGAAAUGCGCAGAUAUCAGGAGGAACACCGGUGGCGAAGGCGGGUCUCUGGGCAGUAACUGACGCUG